This 70-nucleotide transfer RNA is filed under the name Dipodomys ordii (Ord's kangaroo rat). It matches the Rfam family "tRNA". Rfam says of the family: Transfer RNA (tRNA) molecules are approximately 80 nucleotides in length. Their secondary structure includes four short double-helical elements and three loops (D, anti-codon, and T loops). Further hydrogen bonds mediate the characteristic L-shaped molecular structure. tRNAs have two regions of fundamental functional importance: the anti-codon, which is responsible for specific mRNA codon recognition, and the 3' end, to which the tRNAs corresponding amino acid is attached (by aminoacyl-tRNA synthetases). tRNAs cope with the degeneracy of the genetic code in two manners: having more than one tRNA (with a specific anti-codon) for a particular amino acid; and 'wobble' base-pairing, i.e. permitting non-standard base-pairing at the 3rd anti-codon position. The record is from Rfam by way of RNAcentral. Lineage: Eukaryota; Metazoa; Chordata; Mammalia; Rodentia; Heteromyidae.
GGGAAUGUGACUCAGUGGUAGAGUGCUUGCCUCGCAUGCAUAAAGCCUUGGGUUCAAUUCCUCAGUACCA